Molecule: ribosomal RNA, 795 nt
Filed under: uncultured bacterium
Lineage: Bacteria
Description: bacterial SSU rRNA
Rfam family: Bacterial small subunit ribosomal RNA
Source: RNAcentral
CGCUGGCGGCGUGCCUAAUACAUGCAAGUCGAGCGAGCAGAACCAGCAGAUUUACUUCGGUAAUGACGCUGGGGACGCGAGCGGCGGAUGGGUGAGUAACACGUGGGGAACCUGCCCCAUAGUCUGGGAUACCACUUGGAAACAGGUGCUAAUACCGGAUAAGAAAGCAGAUCGCAUGAUCAGCUUAUAAAAGGCGGCGUAAGCUGUCGCUAUGGGAUGGCCCCGCGGUGCAUUAGCUAGUUGGUAAGGCAACGGCUUACCAAGGCAAUGAUGCAUAGCCGAGUUGAGAGACUGAUCGGCCACAUUGGGACUGAGACACGGCCCAAACUCCUACGGGAGGCAGCAGUAGGGAAUCUUCCACAAUGGACGCAAGUCUGAUGGAGCAACGCCGCGUGAGUGAAGAAGGUUUUCGGAUCGUAAAGCUCUGUUGUUGGUGAAGAAGGAUAGAGGCAGUAACUGGCCUUUAUUUGACGGUAAUCAACCAGAAAGUCACGGCUAACUACGUGCCAGCAGCCGCGGUAAUACGUAGGUGGCAAGCGUUGUCCGGAUUUAUUGGGCGUAAAGCGAGCGCAGGCGGAAGAAUAAGUCUGAUGUGAAAGCCCUCGGCUUAACCGAGGAACUGCAUCGGAAACUGUUUUUCUUGAGUGCAGAAGAGGAGAGUGGAACUCCAUGUGUAGCGGUGGAAUGCGUAGAUAUAUGGAAGAACACCAGUGGCGAAGGCGACUCUCUGGUCUGCAACUGACGCUGAGGCUCGAAAGCAUGGGUAGCGAACAGGAUUAGAUACCCUGGUAGUCC